UCUGACACGGGGUGCAGCAGGCGCGAAAACUUUACAAUGCAGGCAACUGUGAUAAGGGAACCCCGAGUGCCCGUAUGGACGGGCUGUUCGGGUGCUUAAAAACCACCUGGAGAAAGGGCCGGGCAAGACCGGUGCCAGCCGCCGCGGUAAUACCGGCGGCUCGAGUGGUGGCCACUAUUACUGGGCUUAAAGCGUCCGUAGCUUGGUCGUUAAGCCUCUGGGGAAAUCUUCCGGCUCAACCGGAAGGCGUCUCAGGGGAACUGGCGGCCUAGGGAUCGGGAGAGGUGAGAGGUACUCUGGGGGUAGGAGUGAAAUCCUGUAAUCCUCAGGGGACCACCUGUGGCGAAGGCGUCUCACCAGAACGACUCCGACAGUGAGGGACGAAAGCUGGGGGAGCAAACCGGAUUAGAUACCCGGGUAGUCCCAGCCGUAAACGAUGCGCGUUAGGUGUAUCGGUGACCACGAGUUACCGAGGUGCCGAAGGGAAACCGUGAAACGCGCCGCCUGGGAAGUACGGUCGCAAGGCUGAAACUUAAAGGAAUUGGCGGGGGAGCACCUGGU
RNAcentral lists this ribosomal RNA (561 nucleotides) under uncultured Methanofollis sp. RNAcentral describes it as "bacterial SSU rRNA". It matches the Rfam family "Archaeal small subunit ribosomal RNA", at positions 316 to 884 of the family's 1478-position model. Lineage: Archaea; Methanobacteriati; Methanobacteriota; Methanomicrobia; Methanomicrobiales; Methanomicrobiaceae. The record is from RNAcentral.